UACGUAGGGUGCGAGCGUUGUCCGGAAUUACUGGGCGUAAAGAGCUCGUAGGUGGUUUGUCGCGUUGUUCGUGAAAACUCACAGCUUAACUGUGGGCGUGCGGGCGAUACGGGCAGACUGGAGUACUGCAGGGGAGACUGGAAUUCCUGGUGUAGCGGUGGAAUGCGCAGAUAUCAGGAGGAACACCGGUGGCGAAGGCGGGUCUCUGGGCAGUUCCUGACGCUGAGGAGCGAAAGCGUGGGGAGCGAACAGG
RNAcentral lists this ribosomal RNA (253 nucleotides) under uncultured bacterium. RNAcentral describes it as "partial 16S ribosomal RNA". It matches the Rfam family "Bacterial small subunit ribosomal RNA", at positions 524 to 776 of the family's 1533-position model. The record is from RNAcentral.